Anas platyrhynchos (mallard) is the source of this 6277-nucleotide long non-coding RNA. RefSeq lists it as uncharacterized. The record is from RefSeq and is a predicted model, not a curated record. Lineage: Eukaryota; Metazoa; Chordata; Aves; Anseriformes; Anatidae.
CCUCAGCCUACAUCCUUCCAUUGUUUUAUUAGCUACCUUCAAUAAAUGAUUGUCAGAAUUAUUUCCUCUUCAUUUGCAGGAAUAAUCUGAGACUGAAAGAGGAGAACCAAGAAAAAAUAAAAUAAGAAAGAAAGAGAGAGAGAGAGAGAGAGAGAGAGAGAGAGAAAGAAGGAAAGAAAGAAAGGUGGUGCCAAUUUCUAGUAUGACUGGGAUGAGAAACAAAGGAGAUUCUUGCAUGUCGUGCCUUCAGUAAAAACAGACUACUUAUUAACUAGAUUUUACAGCCCAUUCCAUCCCCCACAUUUUUAAGGGUAUGGCCUGAAUGGCCCCAGGAGGGUUGGUCAGAGUUCAUCCCAGGAACAAAGCUCUGUGACGGCAGCAGGAGAGGGCAUGGGUACCUCAUCCUGCAGGCAUGCAAGGGCUUCCAGCUACCACGUCCGUGCCUGGUGGGAGUCUCAGCAGGGUUGCAAUCAAAGCUCAGCCAUGGAGGUGUUUGUAAUUGAUGACUACACAGCUACCUAGCCCGCAACAGGGACAGAGCCCAGAAAUUUCUGCAGAUGCUUACCAGAAGUAAGAUGUCCUCCUCUGAUCCCUGAGGAGUCUGAGGGCUGUCCUGGAGUGCUGAUGAAAGCCCAGGGAUCCUGAAGAAGAGCACGCAGACACAAGGCUACAGGGUCUUUGCAUUCUUGUCUUUAAAGCCCCAUCACAGCCUUUGCAAGGGAAGAAACCCUCACGCCUGGAGGGGAUUUGGUUCUCUCCAUCUGAUGUCCUGCAGAGGAACGUAUUCAUUGACAUUUUCAACUGCUACUUUUCCUGGAAAUAAGCCUUUCCUCUCUAGUGACAAGUUGCACAUUUUGCAGUAAUUGGAAAAAGGAGAGCACCAGAUAAGGGUAUCCUGUCCGCCUUGAAAUAACUCUCCUACUUCCUCUUCCAAGAAGAUAAGAAACAUCUGCACGUGCAGACGUUAUUGCACAAAAGCCACCUCUCUUCAAGGAAAAGUCUAAUUGAAAAUUCAAAAAAGAAUAACCCUCACUGGUGCCGCCUCACCUUGCCAUUUAGGUGCAUUACAACCUGAGCAACGAGGGGGUGCCGUCGAGCUGUCCAAAUUGCAUGCAAGCUUUGGCUCUUACCCAGAAACUACUCUCAUAGUUGCCCUUUAGCUCAGCUCCAAAAACAUCCAUCACAGCCACCCUGGGUGCUCACCUCACCACAUCGCUUGGUUUUUGCAAGCUGGCCUUUGGGGUACGGGUAACACUUUCUGCUGUGACUAUGUGCUACAAACCUCUCUGAGCAGGAGAGCUGAGGACAUCUGAGCUGAAUCCUGCGAGACAACCAGAUGGGCCAUGCUGUCAUCCUGUGGGUUUUGUGUGGGCUUUCUCCCACUCGCAUCCUUGGACUUCAAGUUCCUCUGCCCACCCUGACUAGCAGUAGCAGCAGCUUCUGUCACAACAAUUUUUUUUUUCUUUCACUGUAACAAUUAGUUAAAGAAAACAAAGUGAAGCAUUCAAUAUGAACCAUCUAUUACAAAGAGAGAGUUACUGAAUCUCUGAGAGCAGAUAUUAAAUCAAGACCAGUUUCCCCCUGCAGCAAUUAUUUGUAGCUAACUGCCUCCCUCUCUAUGGAAAGCCUCCAAGGCAAAACGCACUGUGACACCCAAGCUGGUUUGGUUUGGGAUUUCUUUGCUCUGAAAAUAGAGAGGACGGGAGCGGACUUGUUCCAGCACCACCAGAGGAGAGCCAGGCUCCAGGGGUGAUGCACAUCCUCAGGCAACUGCAGCACAGGGACAAGUGGAGCGAUGCGCUUCAUGCCCAGCCCUGCAGCCCCUGACCCUUCUGGGGACCCCCAGGAGGGACCUCCUUUCCCACCAGCUGAUCCAAGGGCUGCUUGCAGCUAUCUCAUGCCCCAGGCAGAGCUCGGGAGACACAGGAGCCACACCCUUCACCAGCCCAGCUCCCUGCCGCACCCAAUACAGAGUGGCAUUUUUCAAAUUGCCCCAGUAUCUUAAUAAAAGCAUCCAAACGCUUUUUCUCAAGUGGAAACUCCACAGAGCAACAGGCUGAACUCUCAUUUUCAAAGGUGCAAGGAGGGAAUUUUGAUCUGUAGGGGUUAGGUGCAGAAAUGUUAGUGCCCACAUCCAAUUAAACAGGUGAAGGCAUCAUAAUUUGCAAUUAUACCCCUUCACCAUCCUCCUUUUCUUUAGCUAACUAUAUCUCCAUUGUGUGCUUUUGCACUUUCUGUUGCUGAAUUUAGGCAAUAGACUCCUCCAAUCAUGUGACAAGUUCCUGAUCUUUAUCAGCAAAAUAACUACUCCAUCUUAUAUCUUUUGCAUUGUGGUUACUGAGAACCAAAACUAAGUCCAUCUUUUUCCAUUUGUCUGAAAACACACCCUACAAAUAAGUCACAGAAAAAAAACACCAUGAUGACAAUAGGUAGAAAAAAGUGGUAAGUUGUGAGAGCAGUUUUGAAAACAAAUAAUGCUCUUAAAUAAAUGGAAAUGAAUGCACAUUUGUUCUCAUGCAAACAAUUAUUUUUGUUGUUUUUUCUUUUAGUACAUCUUUUUUCAGGUGUGCACAAAGGAAGUGGGAAUGAUGCUACAACUACACAAAACAAUAGGAGGUUGCAAUUUUCUAAACAAACAAAUAAACAAAAAAGAAACAACACAUUCUUGGAGUUAUCGGAGGAUCUGAAUAAUAAUUCAGAAAAAUCUGUCUAGAAAACAUGAACUAGGAGAAAAGUUGAACGAAUUGGGUAUUCAUAACUUAGAAAAGAGAAUGAGAAAUAGAAGCCAGAAUAUACUUUCAAUAUGUAAAAGGCUACUUUGAAACAGAUUUAGGAUCAGCUGUUGGCCAUCCUCAUCAAGAACAGAUAAGAAAUAGCUUGAUUUUUUCAGUAAGGAAACCUUUGUAUAGAUGUCAGGGAAACCUUUCUAAGUAUAAGGACUUCUAAGACUGAGUUACUUUAGGAAGGUUACACAUACAGACCAAUUAGCAAAAAAGGCAACGUGGAAAGGAAAUGAUGUAUUGUACCUUACAAUGGUCCUAAAAGUCUCCAGUAACUCACUAUGCCAAAAUGAAACAAAAAACGGUUGUUGCAAGUGUCAGCAAUUUGGAUCCAUUUUUACAGGAAACAGGCAAAAGCAAUCAUUUCAAAGUAAAUAAUGCACGGCUUAGGACUAACGGCUUUGAAACUUUUUAAUACCCUAUUUGCUUUAAAAUAGGUCUUUCACAUUUAGACUGUGUUUAGGGAAAAGUCAUAGCACAAACUUUCCAUACACUUCUUGCAGAAGUGUUUGGAAAAAAACAUCCACUAGCUGACAGUACAGUUCUGCACUUACUUUGUCUAAUGAAAACUGAUCUUCGUGACACAGUUUUCUGUAUGAAAUAAAAAUACAGACUACUUUGCUACAGUUUAGCUAAAAAAAAUAACCUACCAUUAGUAGGUAGUGUGACACUUGCUCUUUUCUUUCCAGAGUCUAGACAAAGGUGAUGACUUUGUGACUACUGUUUCCAAACCCUUUCAGUAAUAAAACCUGGGGUUUAAAAUAUUACAAUAUUUGACUAUCCAAAGACAAGGUUCUGAAAGGGACUUUUAAUAAACAUAACUUUAUUACAGGAGGCAACAGUCAGUAAUACAAACAGGCUAUGAUCUCUGUCCCAAUAGGGCAAGUUUGCCUCAAACUUGCCAGGGGCAGGGGGAAAAAGGAAAAACCAACAAUAGAUGAAUGCUGGCCUGUAUCUCAUUGAUGCUAAAAUCCCCCCUGUGUUCAGUGAUGCCAAGACUUUGUCUAGGGAAACUAUUACAAUUUUACGCUAUCAUAACUAGUUCAAAAAUCAGGCUGUUUACUGAUGAAUGCCACCUGCUCCUGCCUGGCAAAGCAUGUUCGAACAAUUACACAGGGCAUAUUACCAUAAUGAACAGGGCUUUUCAUUUACAAAUCCAGAAGUGCUGUGCUGAAGUGCUAUCCAAUCCAGAGCAGCGGGGAAGAUAGGAAAGCCAGGGAGAAGAGAGACAGACAUAUGGAAAACCAAGUCCCUCUGGACAAAAGAAUGGCCAGGGUAAGGACGGGACUCAGGUACCCCAAACAAUAUUGCUGCAACUCUUCUUUAAGGCUGCACACUUAAUUCAGCAGUUACAUUUCACCUUGUGGAUUGUCUGGCCACAAAUAUGCAGAAAAGCAGCAGCUGGUACAGCAACAUACAUGGUUUAUUUCAUCACGUCUUGAAAGAACCCAGAAAGGGCCAUGGGGGGUCAGGUUCAUAGGGACAUUUAGGAAAAUGCUGCAUUGACCUUCAGCAGAGGCAAAACACGAUUUGGGGAGGAAUUACAGAAAUACUGUGAUCAUUAAGCAAUCUAUCACAAAAUGUGGCCUCUCUUUUCUUUUCUUUUUUCUUUUCCUUUUCUUUUCAAACAAAAAAUAUGUGAACCAAAGUUUCCUUAGAAAGAAAAAAGCUUCAGUCGUGUGAUCUGUGUUACUCAGGAAAUCAAGCUAGAUGAUCACAGUUAUCACUUCUAGCCCAGAAAUAUAUAUAUACAUAUAUUAAUAAUUAAAAGAGAGAGAAAAAAAAAUCUCACGCCAACUUCAUUCUCUGUGGUUUUCCCCAUGAAGUCCACAGAACCCACUCCUCAUCUCCUUGAUUUUACAAUAAAUCUUCAUCUACUGAUUCUACAAAAGCCUUGGAAAUCACAUAUCUUUUCACUUCCAACUUCUGUGAAUAAUCAAAACUUUGUUCAACACUACAGCUUUUAUUCCAAUGCACAUAAAUAGCUUCUUGACUUGCACAAAACCUGAAACCACUUUAAUCAAUUCGCUAUAUAUAGUCUGGAUAAAUACUGAUUUUGAGAUUCUGGGUAUACGGCCAAUCCUAUGCUAUUUGCUAAUACUUUGAUCUAAAUUCACACUAUUUUAAGAAGAAAUGAAAAAUAUUCUGAGGAGAACAAAGACAACAGUAAAGAAAUUACAGCCUGUGAAAGCUAGAGGAUAUGCACAUAAGUUAAAAAGUCAACUUGUUCCAAAAGUAUUUCAGAAGACAGAAAUACAUUUAAACUUAUCAAAAUCUAAAAUGCAAAUAUCUGUAAUUUUUUCCUCAUUACUCCUACAGGAAUUCACUUUUGGUUUUACAGAAAUUUUUCACUAUGUUAACUAUAUUUAAUAACAUGAGUAGACAGUACUACAGUCUAAUUGUAUGUGCAUGUGUGUAAUGUACUACUCCAUUUUCAAUGGCAGCAUUAUAGUGUAGGUGAUUUAUGUAUGUGCAACAGAAAUGGCUAUUCUGUAGAAAUAUCACAGGAAAUGACACACAGGAAAUAAAACAACACAGACAUCUUACAAUCAUUUCCUAAACUUCUAGUGCAGCAAUCUGCUGAGCUCCUGAAAGAACCCAGAUGCUGCUGACACAGGGAAUGAGCAAACACCAAAAACACAUCCUUCUCUCAACAUGGUUUCUUGGUCUUGAGAGGAAAGAAGGAUGAACAAGACUAUAAGCUAUGAAAUACUUGGUUAUUUGCCACCUGAAAAUAUUUUUUGUUAGGUAUUAACCAUUUACUACUGUCAUGGUUCACCUACAGUGGCUACGGAUGGAUGGGGGGGACCCGCAGCGGCUGUGAAAACAAGAAAGCUGAAGAUUAAUGUGUGGUAAAUGCUCAAGUAAUGGCUGGGGAAAAGAAAGGCACGUGGAAAAAAAAAAAAAAAAAUCACAGUAAUCCUCAUGCCAGAUCUUUCUCAUCUUCUCCUUUGUCUACCUGCCCCGUUCGGAUGUGCUCCUCCUGCUGUGGCACUUGCUGGUGCCCCCCAAGCCCUUGCUGUGACAGGUACACAGAUAAAAAUUCAGUUCCUGCCCUGAAAAGCACGUAAUUCAGGGUACAGCAAGGUACCAUCAGAGGCAACAAAAUAGUCAUGUUUCAGUCAGAUUUGCCAGCAUGCAACAGAAAACUAUGUUCUGGAAGCCAGAUGAGCUCAAUAACUUUUUAGCAGGGAUUUUUAUUAGGAAAUGCUAGAACAUAGCUCAGGAGGGUUCAGCUGAAUGCACAGCAGAAUACUGCAUUUUAUCUAAGCAAAUUUUGCCAGUUAAAAAUAGUCAGAAAAUGAAGGAAAGUAUCAGCCUACUUUUAUUAUUGCUCAAUAUUCUGCUAUUCAUUUACAGCCCUUUAUUGGAAAUUAUAAAAUAAGUCAAAUAUAAUAAAUAUAGAAAAUAUUUACAAAAUAUACAAAAAACAGAUUUGACAUUAGUGUUCUAGUUUAAGAAUCAAUAUGAGGUAUUUUUAUGCUAUUAUUUCCUGG